RNAcentral lists this long non-coding RNA (861 nucleotides) under Lathyrus oleraceus (garden pea). RNAcentral's name for it is "Pisum sativum (pea) long non-coding RNA (PSAT_LNC025572)". The record is from RNAcentral. Lineage: Eukaryota; Viridiplantae; Streptophyta; Magnoliopsida; Fabales; Fabaceae.
AAAAUCCCAUGUGUGGUUGUCAAGAUAUGAUCAAAUCAUUUUCACCAAUUUUUGAACUUCAACAAGCCAUAACUCUCAAACCAUAAGGCCAAAUUUGGUGGGGUUUUUUCCUACAAACCACAUUUUUCAUCCUCUUUCCAAAAAUAUAAAUUUCAUGACCUAAAACCCUACCAUUCAAAAUGGCAUUUUUGGACCAAUUCCUUCAAAAUUCAAAGUUUGACCAAACUUUGACUUUUUGAUUUAUGGACUUUUUCACCAUUUUGCCAAUUGGGAAAUGUUCCAUAUAUCAUUUAUGAUUUGUUCCAAGCCUAAAACCAUCAUCAUACCACCAUUUUCCCAUCAUUUUGAAUCAAAUUGCAAAAUUGACAAAAUUGGCAAUUGGCUUCACAAAAGCAAAUAUAGUACAGCAUUUUCUGUACAACCACAAGCAGCAUUGUGUUUGGCCUGCUAGCAGCCUUUCCAGCCCAUUUGUGCAGACAAACACACCCACCAUUUUCACUUGUUCCACAAUUAGCAAUUUGCAAAAUGACCAUUACACACAAAACCAAUUUACCACAUGAUUAAAUGAUGAUUAACAGAUGAUAUUUAAGCCUUCAUUUUCUGUUUCCAACCCUAGUUCUAAGCAGCCACCAACCAGAAAAGCUCACUCUCUCAUUUUUGCAUUUGUGGCCUUUGGCAAUUUUUGCUCGAAAUCUCCAAACCACUUGAACAUUCCUUCAUGUUUCCAUCAUCUAACCACCAUUAAGAGUCAUUCCUGAUCAUAAGAUACUGACUGGAAUAGCAUUGCAAGGUCUGCAUUUUCAUGAGUCCAACAAUGGUAGUUUUCGGUUCUGGGAUUUCUAAGAGUUGCUGAGCUUCAAG